This is a long non-coding RNA of Suricata suricatta (meerkat), 983 nucleotides long. RefSeq lists it as uncharacterized. The transcript has 5 exons. Lineage: Eukaryota; Metazoa; Chordata; Mammalia; Carnivora; Herpestidae. The record is from RefSeq and is a predicted model, not a curated record.
UUUGUUUCUCUCCUCUUCCGAAGCCAGACCGUCCUUGGUCUCCCGGCCCCGGGGCUGCAUCUCCGUGGGCACAAGUCUGCCUGGUUACCUGAGCUGCUUUUGCGGAGUCCCCGCCUCGGCUUCGCCUGGGGGCAGGUGCACCUGAACCCCGAGCGGCCAUCUGCCCAGCGCCCAAGAAGGACCUGCUCCGGAGCCCCGGCCGGGGCCGCUCACGGCUGAAAAGGGUGAAGCUGCACUAGUCCCGCGGUGGGACGGACAGCGAGGACACCAAGGACCGGGGACGGGGACUUAGCAGUACGUCCCGUGGCCGCCGGGCCCUCCGCGGGCCGUGGGCACCAGCUCGGGGCUGCUCGCAGGGAUUAGAGCGGGUGGGCGGGGGGCGGAGAGCCAUGCCGGGAUGCGGCGGCAUUUUACCUGAGCGGAGCUGAGGAUGGAUGAACCCGGUACCUGCGGUGUCUGCCCGGCCAGGCAGAGCCGGAGAGAGACAGGAGCUGGUUGUGUCUUCAUUGUAAUUCUGUGACCGGGAAGUUGAAUCCACUAAAGAAACAUGUACGACAGAAGAGGCCCAGAGAAGGCUAUUUGUGUGGUCGUUGUGACUGUACGAUUGCCCAGUCCCAAGGCAAAGAGCAAGAUUUUCAAUAAUGGGCUAGAAAAGAGGGUUAAAGGAUGGUUUAGAACAAAUUCAAGAGACAAUGAUCCAGUUCCCACUUGCAGAAGGACACAUGAGCCGAAUCCUGUGGGGCCUGGGGAGGAAAUGCAGUUUCAAUGACUGGUGGUCAGCCAGGACCUAGGAGCAGAGAUGGUCCUCCUGGCCUGCUGUCCGGAGCUCAGUAGCAGCCCAAGGCUGUCGCACUGCCCACGUCAUUGACCUCAUUGCAUCUCGUCAUGUGAGCAUCUUAUCGCCCGACAUCACAAGAAGCAUGUCACCUCCUCAAGGACAGCCCGAUCCUUUUCAUCAUGACCAGGUUCUUCAUGCUCGUUGG